GUACUUACCGGGUAGGGGGGAUACCAUGAUCACGAAGACCGUUUUCCCAGGGUGAGGUUUAUCUGUUGUAUGCCGGAUGUGAUGACCCCUGUGAUUUCCCCAAACGUGGGAAACCGGGCCACAUAAUUUAUGGUAGUGGGGGACUGCGUUCGUGCUCUCCACUG
Small nuclear RNA from Ailuropoda melanoleuca (giant panda), 164 nucleotides. Its record names the gene U1. It matches the Rfam family "U1 spliceosomal RNA". Rfam says of the family: U1 is a small nuclear RNA (snRNA) component of the spliceosome (involved in pre-mRNA splicing). Lineage: Eukaryota; Metazoa; Chordata; Mammalia; Carnivora; Ursidae. The record is from Ensembl.